RNAcentral lists this unclassified non-coding RNA (335 nucleotides) under soil metagenome. Its description in RNAcentral is "partial contains 5.8S ribosomal RNA, internal transcribed spacer 2, and large subunit ribosomal RNA". The stretch from base 1 to 120 matches the Rfam family "5.8S ribosomal RNA", at positions 35 to 154 of the family's 154-position model. The record is from RNAcentral.
GAUGAAGAACGUAGCGAAAUGCGAUAAGUAGUGUGAAUUGCAGAAUUCAGUGAAUCAUCGAAUCUUUGAACGCACAUUGCGCCCCUUGGUAUUCCAUGGGGCAUGCCUGUUCGAGCGUCAUUUGUACCUUCAAGCUAUGCUUGGUGUUGGGUGUUUGUCCUCUCCCUGCGUUUGGACUCGCCUUAAAGCGAUUGGCAGCCUAUAUUUGGUUUUGAGCGCAGCACAUUUUGUGUCUUACUACUUAUUCUAUAGGCACCCAUUAAGCCUUUUAUCACGUUUGACCUCGGAUCAGGUAGGGAUACCCGCUGAACUUAAGCAUAUCAAUAAGCGGAGGA